Molecule: ribosomal RNA, 435 nt
Filed under: uncultured Flavobacterium sp.
Lineage: Bacteria; Pseudomonadati; Bacteroidota; Flavobacteriia; Flavobacteriales; Flavobacteriaceae
Description: bacterial SSU rRNA
Rfam family: Bacterial small subunit ribosomal RNA
Source: RNAcentral
GGAAUAUUGGUCAAUGGAGGCAACUCUGAACCAGCCAUGCCGCGUGCAGGAUGACGGUCCUAUGGAUUGUAAACUGCUUUUGUACAGGAAGAAACCGCUCUACGUGUAGAGCCUUGACGGUACUGUAAGAAUAAGGAUCGGCUAACUCCGUGCCAGCAGCCGCGGUAAUACGGAGGAUCCAAGCGUUAUCCGGAAUCAUUGGGUUUAAAGGGUCCGUAGGCGGCUUAGCAAGUCAGUGGUGAAAUCUCCCCGCUCAACGGGGAAACGGCCAUUGAUACUACUAGGCUUGAAUUAUUAGGAAGUAACUAGAAUAUGUAGUGUAGCGGUGAAAUGCUUAGAUAUUACAUGGAAUACCAAUUGCGAAGGCAGGUUACUACUAAUUGAUUGACGCUGAUGGACGAAAGCGUGGGGAGCGAACAGGAUUAGAUACCCGUG